GUUCCACAUCAGAUAUUCACUAUUGUGAUCAUUUAGGACAAAAGUAGUUUCAAAGAAGAAAAGAAAGAAGGAGAGAGGUGGUAAAGUCUCACUGUGUCCAUCUCUGGAAGCCCAUUAGCUGGAAGAGUGUGUUAAUGGCUACCGGGUGAAGGCUCCUAGAGGACUAACUUCUGGACAUUCCUGAUGCUCUGCCAAGAGAUUAGAAAGCAGCUAUUAGACAGUGUAUUCCCCAUAUCUAACAUUAUAAAUUAUAUCCUAGGCCAGCAGAAAUGGACCUAGAUGCUCUUUUAGCACAUACUGUGUUCUGAGAUCCAGGAUAACCGGGAGACUUAUGGACAAAGCUCUCAAGUAGGUUUUCACUCCAUGUACACCCAUGGUAUGAUGAGGAAGGAGCCUUUUCCUUGUGAAACAGGAGCAUCAUAUCAUGAGACAAGACUAGUUCAGCAUGAGAAGGCCAAAGCUGAAAAGAUGCGAUGGAAAUGCAAUGGCUGCUUCACUGGGCCCUCUGGAAACUAGGAGCCACUGAACUGCACCAGGUUUUGACCAGAACCAGCUCAUAGCCUGCUUCCAGGCUUUAGUUUCCAUUUCUAAGGACCCAAAAAUUGUAUGAAAAACCAUUUCCAAAAGCAUUUAGAAAUGUCUCUCAAUAUAGGCUGCAGAUUUUUGGACCAGAUGGCUUUGUAACUUUGCAAAGUAGACUUAAUUUUAUAGUUAUUUAAAUAUGCCACAUAUUUUAAAUCCACAGUGCUUCUGCUAAUUAACACUUCGUAAUUUCUCAAGAGUCCCACAGGCAAU
This is a long non-coding RNA of Perognathus longimembris pacificus (Pacific pocket mouse), 795 nucleotides long. RefSeq lists it as uncharacterized. Lineage: Eukaryota; Metazoa; Chordata; Mammalia; Rodentia; Heteromyidae. The transcript is spliced from 4 exons. The record is from RefSeq and is a predicted model, not a curated record.